This is a long non-coding RNA of Brienomyrus brachyistius, 3233 nucleotides long. RefSeq lists it as uncharacterized. The record is from RefSeq and is a predicted model, not a curated record. The transcript has 4 exons. Lineage: Eukaryota; Metazoa; Chordata; Actinopteri; Osteoglossiformes; Mormyridae.
CAGCAGGCAAGAGAAAGUGAAAUUUGUACGAGAGCAGAGGCGGGCAGCGGAUUGUGAUGGCUGGAUGUGAAGUGAGACCUAUGCAGGAUCAAAGAAGUGAAAUAAAAUAACUAUUAGCCCAGAAGUGUUGCGGUUUCUGGUGAACUCAUGACUGAGCAGCUUGUCAGUCUUAUGAGAAGGAGGUAACUAAGCCAGGAGGUGGUGAAAUAAGAUUAGCAGUAGAUGGAGGCCAGUAAAGUGGGAGCGGUUUAUGAAGUGAGAAGUAGAAAUCCCUAAGUAGGAUCACUGCUGUGCCAUAUGCUGCGAAAGACGUCAGAAAAAAAGUCUGGCUUAUCAAGGAAAUAGGACAAGGGACCUGACGCAAGACAGAGAACAAACAGCUCAGUUGGGCAUGCAGUGACAGUUUCUGGGGUUGUGGAGUUACUCAGCUAUGUUAGCAGAUCCGCUAAGUACUGGUAACUGAGUUCACUGUAAGUUGAAAUUAAUUCUACCUGAAUGGCAGUUCUGGGGCUCACUUACAGUACGAGAGUGAAGGUUGCAGCUGGUGUUGAGUAUGAUGGAGUGACGGGUCGGGGGUGAUGACAUGGAAGGUAACAUCUUCAUGCGUUGCAAAAUCUGUAACACCUACCGACGUACAUUGAAACACAAGGUCAGAUCUUAUUAGACUGUGUGGAAGAAUGCAGUUCAACAGUGGAAAGAGAAUAUAGUUUAGUCUUGUAAGGAUACUGUGUUCUGUAGAUUGUGUCUUUCUUUGCAACUAAGGAUUUGAAAGAUAAGGUGAUAAGGUUUGUGAGAAUGUUGUAGCUAGGUUUAUAAUUGUGAAUUUUUCUAAUCAACUAAAAUGUGAAUUGGAACAUUCCUUGCAAUGCAAAGCAAAGAUUUAAUCUGGGGUAAAUAGGAAUGACAUCUGUUCUCUAAGUCUGUCUUUAGAUGGAAUUUGUAGGUAAGUCAGCAAAUGAGUAACACGUAAUAAUACAUAGUAGCAAUAAUAAUGAAUGUAUCUACAUGUGGUUCUGUACUGGACCCAGAGCCGACGAAAUGUUUUCAUGUCUCUCACAAAGUACUGUGCAUGUCCAUUAUUAUAAACGAUUCUAUUUACCCUGAAUUUUUAAUAUUAUAGACUUUGCAUUUUGUUAUAGUCCAUUUGUAAAUACGAGUUGUUCAUAAGAUGGAUUUUUUUAACCUUGGGACUGCUUGUAGCCAGUGCAUAUUUCACCUGGUUGAAUACUGCAAAGUCUGUAUGUUACCCAGCAUGGAACUUAAAUAUUUGCAUUUUGUUCACCAGAAAAUGUCAAAUAAAAAUAAAAUAGAAUAAAUCAGUGAAUAAAGGAAGGAAAGGUAGUGAAAUAACAAAUGAUGAGAAUAAUGAAACUCUGGACAGAGUUGAGUCCAGGUUUAAAAUUGCAUUUGGGAGCAGCGUAGCGACCCACUGAGCUGUCCGGCUGUGAAGAAUAUUUCAGGGCAGAAUAAAGGAACGAAAUCCAAAAAGGAAAUAAAAAGGAAGGCUCUGCUUGCAUUUGAUGGGAAACACCACUUCUCCAUCUGCUUAUAAAAGAUAUAUGCAUGCAGAUGCAGGCUUCGUAUGGCACAAGGUAUACAAGAGAUACAACGGGAUGAAGGACUCAGUGGCCGUGGAGAAACACAAAGCAAGUCCUUUGAAUUGCAAGAAAAAAAAGGCUGGAAAUAAGUGAGAUCGCGAGGGAUCAAAGGGUGAACAAGGAAGGACACACAGGUGACAAGAAGAGACCCCAGACAGAGAGCCUAGAACCUGGCUGUCCAUCCCGCAAGCCAGGAUUUCUGCCUGCUGGUUCCUGAGACUACUGGGCAGCAUAUUGCAGGAAACAGGUAAUCAAAGGGGCUUUGGGAUGCUGAAUGGCUGCUUGACUUUAGGAUGACUUGUAUAGGAGGUUGACUCGAGUGCAGAACACUGGAAAAGCAGGAACUGGCACUUCAACCUGGGAACAAUACAAAAAGGACUAAAGGUGAGCUUAAUAUCUGGUUGAAACAAGUAUCCGGCACAUAUAAUUUGAUCUUUCAGAAGCCAAUUGCCAUCAGAUCAUUACUGACAUUAUCUGUGCUGUUUCCUUCUGUUUGCAGGGAAGCCAUAAUGCUCAUUGGACUGUUUACUGCCCCUCCUACAUAAACAUUAACUACACAAAGUUCUCCUUUCCAGAUACCAGUGUAUGUCUGAGGGCUCCAAAAUCCCUGUGUGAUCAUUUUGUGAUUUAUCUAAAUUACAUACAGAAACACCCAAUUGCAUAUGUAAAUUCUCUUGUGUGUCUUAUUUUAUCAAUUUUAAAAUCUCUUGGUUUGUUGCACAGAUCUGCCUUCCUCCUGUAGUCCCCAGGAUAGGCUCCUUAAUAGGACAAUUUGGUUACAGAAAAUGUAUGGAUGAAUGGAUGGAUGAAUGGAUAUUGCAUUCAUAAACUAAACAUAAAUGCACAUUUAGAUGCACAUACCUGUAUGCUUGGGCAGUAUUUAUUUAUAAUGUUACGACAUUAUACUGCAGUAUAAUAUGGUAUUUCAAUGGUAUUUGUAUUAUGGGUACUGUGUAGGAUGUACCAUUUCGGCCUCUUUUAUAUAUAGAUUAUAUAUGUAUGAUACAUGAUCUUACAUGAUACUGGUGGUCACAUUUAUAUAUGGCCAAACAUGGAUUGUAUAUGCAUUCUUCAUGCAACAUACUCAAUAUAGAUGGUCAGUACAAAACAAAUAAGGGUCACAUGCAUUCUUACAAGAUGUUUUUAUAUGAGAAUAUUCACAAAAUUGUAAAUUUCCCAUUUAAACUACACCCACAUCCAGUAUUAAGCCCCAUUCAUUAUGGAUAUGGAUUCAGGUCAUUUUGUUAGUUGAACAGACACAGAUACAGUACAGAUACUCCUGUGCUUGCUCACCCCUACAGCAAAAUUUAAACGAGAUGCAAGCCGCACUGCACACCAGCUGAGGAAUUCUAGCUAACCAUGACCAUGAAAAUAAGAUGCCAGUAAACCAAAGCUGUAAAAAGAUCCUGGCAACCAGAACCACACAUGUGAUGAUGAUGCACCGGAAGAUGAAAUGCAAACAAACUAACCCCCACAAAAUCAGAAGCUGGGCUCCAAAGCAAGUGCUGAGCCAUAGCCUCAGUGAGCCUUGAUGACCGAGCACUGAGCCAUGCAUAGUGAAGCUCACUGAGCCAAGCACCUCUGGCUUGCAGCAAGAUGAAACACACUGAAUAGCCUGUUUAUAGAAGAGUUCCG